RNAcentral lists this ribosomal RNA (557 nucleotides) under uncultured bacterium. RNAcentral's name for it is "bacterial SSU rRNA". It matches the Rfam family "Bacterial small subunit ribosomal RNA", at positions 102 to 694 of the family's 1533-position model. The record is from RNAcentral.
ACGGGUGAGUAACGCGUGGGAAUCUACCGUACCCUACGGAAUAGCUCUGGGAAACUGGAAGUAAUACCGUAUACGCCCUAACGGGGAAAGAUUUAUCGGGGUAUGAUGAGCCCGCGUUGGAUUAGCUAGUUGGUGGGGUAAAGGCCUACCAAGGCGACGAUCCAUAGCUGGUCUGAGAGGAUGAUCAGCCACAUUGGGACUGAGACACGGCCCAAACUCCUACGGGAGGCAGCAGUGGGGAAUAUUGGACAAUGGGGGCAACCCUGAUCCAGCCAUGCCGCGUGAGUGAUGAAGGUCUUAGGAUUGUAAAGCUCUUUCAACGGUGAAGAUAAUGACGGUAACCGUAGAAGAAGCCCCGGCUAACUUCGUGCCAGCAGCCGCGGUAAUGCGAAGGGGGCUAGCGUUGUUCGGAAUUACUGGGCGUAAAGCGCACGUAGGCGGGUAUUUAAGUCAGGGGUGAAAUCCCGCAGCUCAACUGCGGAACUGCCUUUGAUACUGGGUAUCUUGAGUAUGGAAGAGGUAAGUGGAAUUGCGAGUGUAGAGGUGAAAUUCGUAGA